Non-coding RNA from Macaca mulatta (Rhesus monkey), 273 nucleotides. Lineage: Eukaryota; Metazoa; Chordata; Mammalia; Primates; Cercopithecidae. The record is from RefSeq and is a predicted model, not a curated record.
UUUUUCCUAGGUGUACACCUAGGAGUGGAAUUGCUGAGUCAUAUAAUAUGGAAUGGGGCAAAGCAAGAAAAGAGGACUCUGUGGGAGUGCAUUGGAAUUGGAGGCUGGCUGAGAACUUUACAUGGAUUCUCUCCUGAACCCAAGAGCUGUCCCUCAACUACAGAUGAAUCCUGGUCCAUGGUGCAUUCCCUCAGUGGUAGGUUUUAUUGUGAGUCCAGCUCUUCUCUUUGAUAGGUCCUGUGUCUCCUGGAAAGCCCCUGCUCCAAUACCCCA